Long non-coding RNA from Alosa alosa (allis shad), 162 nucleotides. RefSeq lists it as uncharacterized. The transcript has 3 exons. The record is from RefSeq and is a predicted model, not a curated record. NCBI's taxonomy places the organism in Eukaryota, Metazoa, Chordata, Actinopteri, Clupeiformes, Clupeidae.
CGGAAAUACGUCACCUCCACUGUCUAUGACGCACCUCCACUCCGCCCCUACAGUGGUGGCUGCCUGACAGACAGGGCUGGACAUUGAGGGCCUCCCACAGCAACAUUUUGGUGUUGACUGUGGAAUUUUCAUGAUCAUGUAUGCUUGGUACAUAAGCCCUGG